RNAcentral lists this ribosomal RNA (821 nucleotides) under uncultured eukaryote. RNAcentral describes it as "bacterial SSU rRNA". It matches the Rfam family "Bacterial small subunit ribosomal RNA", at positions 484 to 1313 of the family's 1533-position model. The record is from RNAcentral.
GAAUAAGCAUCGGCUAACUCCGUGCCAGCAGCCGCGGUAAUACGGGGGAUGCAAGCGUUAUCCGGAAUCAUUGGGCGUAAAGCGCCUGUAGGUUGUUUAUUAAGUCUGUUGUUAAAGACUAGGGCUUAACCCUAGAAAAGCAAUGGAAACUAAUAGACUCGAGUAUGGCAGGGGUAGAGGGAAUUUCUAGUGUAGCGGUGAAAUGCGUAGAUAUUAGAAAGAACACCGGUGGCGAAAGCGCUCUACUGGACCAUUACUGACACUCAGAGGCGAAAGCUAGGGUAGCAAAAGGGAUUAGAUACCCCUGUAGUCCUAGCCGUAAACGAUGGAUACUAGAUGUUGUGCAUUAAGUACAGUAUCGUAGCUAACGCGUUAAGUAUCCCGCCUGGGGAGUACGCUCGCAAGGGUGAAACUCAAAGGAAUUGACGGGGGCCCGCACAAGCGGUGGAGCAUGUGGUUUAAUUCGAUGCAACGCGAAGAACCUUACCAGGGCUUGACAUACUACGAAUUCUUUUGAAAAAGAGAAGUGCCUUCGGGAAUGUAGAUACAGGUGGUGCAUGGCUGUCGUCAGCUCGUGUCGUGAGAUGUUGGGUUAAGUCCCGCAACGAGCGCAACCCUUAUUUUUAGUUACCAAUUCGUUGGGUUCUCUAGAAAGACUGCCGGUGACAAACCGGAGGAAGGUGAGGAUGACGUCAAGUCAGCAUGCCCCUUAUGUCCUGGGCUACACACGUGCUACAAUGGUUAAGACAAAGAGUCGCGAGCUUGUGAAAGUCAGCUAAUCUCAUAAACUUAGCCUAAGUUCAGAUUGUAGGCUGCAACUC